Molecule: unclassified non-coding RNA, 239 nt
Organism: Callithrix jacchus (white-tufted-ear marmoset)
Lineage: Eukaryota; Metazoa; Chordata; Mammalia; Primates; Cebidae
Rfam family: Metazoan signal recognition particle RNA
About the family: The signal recognition particle (SRP) is a universally conserved ribonucleoprotein. It is involved in the co-translational targeting of proteins to membranes.
Source: Ensembl
GCUGGGCAUGGUGGCCCGUGCCUGUAAUCCCAGCAACUCAGGAGGCUGAGGCAGGAGAAUUGCCUGAACCCAGGAGGCGGAGGUUGCGGUGAGCCGAGAUCGCGCCAUUGCAGAACAAGACUUUUUUUUUUUUUUGGAGACGGAGUUUCCCUCUUGUUACCCAGGCUGGAGUGCAAUGGCACGAUCUUGGCUCACCGCAACCUCCGCCUCCUGGGUUCAAGCAAUUCUCCUGCCUCAGU